Hippoglossus stenolepis (Pacific halibut) is the source of this 719-nucleotide long non-coding RNA. RefSeq lists it as uncharacterized. NCBI's taxonomy places the organism in Eukaryota, Metazoa, Chordata, Actinopteri, Pleuronectiformes, Pleuronectidae. The record is from RefSeq and is a predicted model, not a curated record. The transcript is spliced from 2 exons.
GCCGUAAAUAACGGGACGUGCACAGCCUCUCUCCGCCUUCACGGCUGCGUGAUCCGCGGCCGCCGGUUGCCGCUGGAAGUGGGAUCCGCGGUGCGCAAUUACGAGGCGCGCAGGACGCCGGUGCCACCCACGACAGGAGGGAAAAGCUGAAAGUUGCCUCACUGAGGAGGAAGAGCAGCGGGAUGAGGAGCGAUGGAGGCGUCAGUGAAACGCGACUCCUCCAGCAGGUCACCUGGAGAGAGAGAGAGAGAGAGAGAGAGAGAGAGGAGGAGGGGGAGCAGCUCACCUCCAGGAGACACCUGUUGAAUGGGAGCAGCUCAGACAUCUUGACCCCGAGAGGACAAACUAACUGUUGAAUUGUCUCCUCUACAAUAUGUCUCCUGUUAUUGUGCAGCUUCACAUGACAGCUGCAGGGAGAAGAGGAUGUUCUGCACAGACACUAAACAUGAAUGUGAAGAGGUUGCAUGAUUCAUCAUGUUUUAAAUCAUGAACUUCUCACAAAAUACUUCUUGCGUCAUCUGAAAUGCAACAAAUUGCUUGGUCUUUAUUUCAUUAUCGUCUAAUGCUUUUUAAAUACUGUUUGGCUCUUGGUCAUACAUGAUUUGUGACUCAUGCAUGUAACCAUUUUCACAUGCAAUUGAUGUGAACUGAUCUGAUUUGUAAAAUAAGAUAGAUAGUAUGAUUUUAAGACCUUUAAAACAACUAAUUUACAUGUACAA